RNAcentral lists this ribosomal RNA (253 nucleotides) under uncultured bacterium. RNAcentral describes it as "partial 16S ribosomal RNA". It matches the Rfam family "Bacterial small subunit ribosomal RNA", at positions 524 to 776 of the family's 1533-position model. The record is from RNAcentral.
UACGAAGGGAGCAAGCGUUGUCCGGAAUUAUUGGGCGUAAAGAGCUCGUAGGCGGUCUGUCGCGUCGGCUGUGAAAUCCCGAGGCUCAACCUCGGGUCUGCAGUCGAUACGGGCAAACUGGAGGGUUGCAGGGGAGACUGGAAUUCCUGGUGUAGCGGUGAAAUGCGCAGAUAUCAGGAGGAACACCGGUGGCGAAGGCGGGUCUCUGGGCCGUAACUGACGCUGAGGAGCGAAAGCAUGGGGAGCGAACAGG